GGCGGCGUAGCUCAGUUGGUUAGAGCACCGGAAUCAUAAUCCGGGUGUCCGGGGUUCGAGUCCCUGCGCCGCCACUA
Molecule: transfer RNA, 77 nt
Filed under: Fidelibacterota bacterium
Lineage: Bacteria; Pseudomonadati; Fidelibacterota
Description: tRNA-Met
Rfam family: tRNA
About the family: Transfer RNA (tRNA) molecules are approximately 80 nucleotides in length. Their secondary structure includes four short double-helical elements and three loops (D, anti-codon, and T loops). Further hydrogen bonds mediate the characteristic L-shaped molecular structure. tRNAs have two regions of fundamental functional importance: the anti-codon, which is responsible for specific mRNA codon recognition, and the 3' end, to which the tRNAs corresponding amino acid is attached (by aminoacyl-tRNA synthetases). tRNAs cope with the degeneracy of the genetic code in two manners: having more than one tRNA (with a specific anti-codon) for a particular amino acid; and 'wobble' base-pairing, i.e. permitting non-standard base-pairing at the 3rd anti-codon position.
Source: RNAcentral